Molecule: long non-coding RNA, 899 nt
Filed under: Lactuca sativa (garden lettuce)
Lineage: Eukaryota; Viridiplantae; Streptophyta; Magnoliopsida; Asterales; Asteraceae
Description: long non-coding RNA (LSAT_LNC001889)
Source: RNAcentral
UCUUUGCCUUCCAAAUCAUCCAUAUGGUCAUGUGAGCCAGCUAUAACGUCAGUUUUCCACUCCUUUUCCCUAUUGAGCUCAUCUUUAAUAUAUCCAUCAACACCAAAUAAGAAUAUGAUUGCACAUGAAAAAUCAAAGAUCAUGAUCAAAACCAUUUCCAUACCUCAUAUCAUAGGCAAAAUAAUAUGCAAAAAAAAAAAACAUGAUCCAAUUUUCCUCAUUAGAUUGACAUAGUAGGCUCAACGUGGAGGGAACAUUGAUUCCAUGUAUUGAGACUUUGAGAGAUUGGAGAAUAUGAGAGCUCCUUUCUUGAACACACAUCAUACAAAGAAUCAAAAUUUAAAGGAACCCAUCGCACCCAUUUAAAAGACUCCAUAACCCUCUCCAAUGAUUUGUCCACCCCCAUUUAAACAUCACACCUGAGAACCGAAAGUUAGUAAUCAAAUUAACAAGAUCCGAUAACUAGUUGGUCUCUCAUCCCCUUCUUAGUUUUCAUGUCCAAAUUCUACAAUUCUAUAAAACAUAUCAUCCCCUAUUUUGACCCUAUCAACAAUCAGUCGAUCCUUAUUAGCUUCAAUCACAUAUGAGUUCAAGUAGACUUCUUUCGAGGCCAAUUUGCUACACCAAAUAUCUCCCCUAAAGAAGGUUCUAUUGCCUUCAACCCAUUCUAUGAAAGAGGCCAUUAAGCGAAAUUCCAUGAUUUUCAAACUCCUCCUCAUGUCGAUCAGAAUAGCUUUCAUCAACACAGGGGUUUAAACUCGCUAUAGUUUUUGCUAUGAGCAAAAUGGGGCACAUCCUAAUGCAAGUAAUAAAUCUUGUCAUUUAUUAUAACCACUUUUGCAAAAGACUGUAUUGUUAUGUCAUUUCUUUCUCCUUUUAUAUAUAAAUAAUUUUGAAAU